GAACGAAGUAGCAUACUUAGUGGCAGACAGGUGAGUAACGCGUAGUCAACCUACCUUUUCGUGGGGGAUAACUAGCCGAAAGGUUAGCUAAUACCGCAUACGAUCGUCGAGUGGCAUCACUUGACGAUGAAAGGAGCAAUCCGCGAAGAGAGGGGACUGCGUCCCAUUAGUUAGUUGGUGGGGUAAUGGCCUACCAAGACUCCGAUGGGUAGCUGGCUUGAGAGAGCGACCAGCCACACUGGAACUGAGACACGGUCCAGACUCCUACGGGAGGCAGCAGUGAGGAAUUUUCCGCAAUGGGGGAAACCCUGACGGAGCGACGCCGCGUGUGGGAAGAAGGCCUUCGGGUCGUAAACCACUGUCGAAGGGGACGAUAUUGACGGUACCCUUGGAGGAAGCCCCGGCUAACUACGUG
RNAcentral lists this ribosomal RNA (415 nucleotides) under uncultured bacterium. RNAcentral's name for it is "bacterial SSU rRNA". It matches the Rfam family "Bacterial small subunit ribosomal RNA", at positions 64 to 507 of the family's 1533-position model. The record is from RNAcentral.